Molecule: ribosomal RNA, 373 nt
Filed under: uncultured bacterium
Lineage: Bacteria
Description: bacterial SSU rRNA
Rfam family: Bacterial small subunit ribosomal RNA
Source: RNAcentral
UCCACGCAGUAAACGUUGUACACUAGGUGUAGCGGGUAUUGACCCCUGCUGUGCCGGAGCUAACGCAUUAAGUGUACCGCCUGGGGAGUACGGACGCAAGAUUAAAACUCAAAGGAAUAGACGGGGACCCGCACAAGUGGUGGAGCAUGUGGUUUAAUUCGAUGAUACGCGAGGAACCUUACCUGGGCUUAAAUGUAGAACGACUUCCCGUGAAAACGGGAUUCUCUUCGGAGCGUUUUACAAGGUGCUGCAUGGUUGUCGUCAGCUCGUGCCGUGAGGUGUCGGGUUAAGUCCCAUAACGAGCGCAACCCCUAUCCUUAGUUGCCAUCAGAUAAUGCUGGGGACUCUAAGGAAACUGCCUACGCAAGUAGUG